CAUGAGGAAAGCUUGCUUUCCUUGAUGACGACUGGCGCACGGGUGAGUAACGCGUAUCCAACCUUCCCAUAACUACGGGAUAACCCGUUGAAAGACGGCCUAAUACCGUAUGAUAUCGUUUGCUGACAUCAAAUAACGAUUAAAGGUUUAGCGGUUAUGGAUGGGGAUGCGUCUGAUUAGCUUGUUGGCGGGGUAACGGCCCACCAAGGCAACGAUCAGUAGGGGUUCUGAGAGGAAGGUCCCCCACAUUGGAACUGAGACACGGUCCAAACUCCUACGGGAGGCAGCAGUGAGGAAUAUUGGUCAAUGGGCGAGAGCCUGAACCAGCCAAGUAGCGUGCAGGAUGACGGCCCUAUGGGUUGUAAACUGCUUUUAUGUGGGGAUAAAGUGCGUGACGUGUCAUGCAUUGCAGGUACCACAUGAAUAAGGACCGGCUAAUUCCGUGCCAGCAGCCGCGGUAAUACGGAAGGUCCGGGCGUUAUCCGGAUUUAUUGGGUUUAAAGGGAGCGAAGGCUGUCUAUUAAGCGUGUUGUGAAAUUUACCGGCUCAACCGGUGGCUUGCAGCGCGAACUGGUCGACUUGAGUAUGCAGGAAGUAGGCGGAAUUCAUGGUGUAGCGGUGAAAUGCUUAGAUAUCAUGACGAACUCCGAUUGCGCAGGCAGCUUACUGUAGCAUAACUGACGCUGAUGCUCGAAAGUGCGGGUAUCAAACAGGAUUAG
RNAcentral lists this ribosomal RNA (719 nucleotides) under uncultured Bacteroidales bacterium. RNAcentral describes it as "bacterial SSU rRNA". It matches the Rfam family "Bacterial small subunit ribosomal RNA", at positions 68 to 781 of the family's 1533-position model. Lineage: Bacteria; Pseudomonadati; Bacteroidota; Bacteroidia; Bacteroidales. The record is from RNAcentral.